This 426-nucleotide ribosomal RNA is filed under the name uncultured Pseudoflavonifractor sp. RNAcentral describes it as "bacterial SSU rRNA". It matches the Rfam family "Bacterial small subunit ribosomal RNA", at positions 355 to 794 of the family's 1533-position model. The record is from RNAcentral. Lineage: Bacteria; Bacillati; Bacillota; Clostridia; Eubacteriales; Oscillospiraceae.
UGGGGAAUAUUGGGGCAAUGGGGCGCAAGCCUGACCCAGCAACGCCGCGUGAAGGAAGAAGGCUUUCGGGUUGUAAACUUCUUUUGUCAGGGACGAGUAGAAGACGGUACCUGACGAAUAAGCCACGGCUAACUACGUGCCAGCAGCCGCGGUAAUACGUAGGGGGCAAGCGUUAUCCGGAUUUACUGGGUGUAAAGGGAGCGUAGACGGCGAUGCAAGUCUGAAGUGAAAGCCCCGGGCUCAACCUGGGUACUGCUUUGGAAACUGUAUUGCUGGAGUGCUGGAGAGGUAAGCGGAAUUCCUAGUGUAGCGGUGAAAUGCGUAGAUAUUAGGAGGAACACCAGUGGCGAAGGCGGCUUACUGGACAGUAACUGACGUUGAGGCUCGAAAGCGUGGGGAGCAAACAGGAUUAGAUACCCUGGUAGU